UCUGUGACGUCAGAUUUGUCGAGAAACGAUCCUCUCACUUCCUCUGAGAAACGCCGAAGAAGUACGGUGAAAGGGAGUGCUGAUUCUCGAGCGCAGAUUGUUGUAGGGUUUACAAGUGAUGGAUUGACGUUGACUCGGAGGUAUCGAAGAAGAGCAUUUCUCGCCGCCAUCGCUUAUGUUGCAGUGGAUGAUAGACAACCCUAGAAUCCUUCUCUCGACGGAGAUUUCAGAUUUGCUUAUUUGUUAGAUUCCAAACGACGUCGUCGCUUAUGUACUGGGCUAUUUUUCUCGUUAGGCCCAUUAAUACUGGGCUCAUGUAUCUUUUUUUUCCGCUCUGAGCUUUGUUUGCAAACUAGAUUUUUUUGUCAACUGUUUCCAAAAAAAUAAAAAAUGAUUUUUAAUAAUUAAAAAGUUAAAAUGUGAUUUCUUUAGAGAAAAUAGUCAAAUAAUUACUGAUACAUAUUUUAACCAAAAAUCAUGAACUCUUCGUUAAUCCGAAAACAUAUGAACUUGUGUUGACCGAGCCUUAUAUAUAGGUAAAACUUUAGUCAACAUUACAUUUCACUUAACCAACAUUUAUUCUUUUUAGGAGAAUUAAAACGACGUUGUUUUGCUAAAAUAAGAAAAACUAAAAAAACACUGUAAAAAGUAUUAAAAUUACACAUUUUUGCUAAAAUGUCUGCAAUUUUCAUUGAUCCAAAAAUAUAAACUUAUUUUGGUUGAGCCAAAUUAUAUAUAAACAAAGAAUCCAAAAUCUGAACCGAAAACAAGUUUAUAUUUUUGGAUCAGUGAAACCUUCAUGCUUUUUAGCACAAAUGUAUAAGUUUAAUAUUUUACAGCGACUUUUUAAAAAAAAAAAUUAUUUUAGCAAAAUGACGUCGUUUUAAUUUCCGUUAAAAAAUAAAUGUCGGUUAAGUAAAAAAUAAUUUUGAAUAUAUUUAUACCUAAUUUGGCUCUGUCAACACAAGUUCAUAUGUUUUUGGAUUAAUGAAGAGUUUGUAUUUUUUGGCAAAAGUGUGUAAAUUCAAUAUUUAUUUGACCGUUUUCUUGAUUUCUUUAUGUAAGUAUUAGGUAAAAUACAUAUGUGGGGGUUUUUUAAUCCUAAUUUUACUGACAAUCAUCUAAAUUAAUACAAUUGUAUAUGAUUAGCAAGUGCCAUUGCAUGUUUCUGGUGGAACUCGAAUCCUCCAAAACAGUGGCAGAGGCAGAAAAUAUUUAUGUUGGGGCAUAUAUAUUAGACCAAAAUAUGAUAUUAAGUAAAAUACUAAGUGGGCUUAGAUACAAUAUUAUUUUAUGUAUUUUUAAAUGGGUUUAAAAAAAGGAAUGGGGCAAAAAAAAUUUAUGAGUGGGGACAUCAUAUAGAUUGGGCUUUAUGUUAUACUAUUUCUUUUGAUCUUGUUGGGUUCAAAGCCCCCAUGUUGUUAGCCACUGCUCCAAAACGAGGAUUGCACUAGGCAAAGUGGGAAAAACAUUGUUGCCUGAAAGGGGAAGUAAGUAUCAGAUUCAAAUUGAUCAAUGAAUUUAACCUAGAUUUAUUGGCAAAACAACUAUGGAGAUUAAUCCAAUUCCAGAGUUUGUUCUUACAAGAGUGCUACGUGGAAUAUAUUAUCGACUAGGCUCGCCUUUGCGAGCGAUUGAUUCAGCCUCUCCUUCUUUAUGUAUGGACAAGUUUGAUGGCAUCUGAGGCUUUAUUAAUGUUGGGGAUCAAUCAGAAAGUACACUCGGGUACCAAAUACGUGUUUGGGAGGAUCUUUCGAUCCCAUCAGUUCCUACUAAGCCAGUUCGGUCAAUUGCUCCAGUGGUUCACCCACAAAUGACAGUGAUAGAAUUUAUUCAUGGUUCUCCAAAAGAGUGGAAUACAGAAACGUCGGAAAACUUCAUUGUUCAGGAGGACAUACCAUCAUUCUGAGUUUGACCAUAAGCCAAUCUAAUAGGGAGGACAAGUGUAGGUGGAGCUAUACAAAGAGUGGGGUACAUACACAGUCAAAUCUGGAAACUGGGUAGCGAAGAAUAUACUCUGUCGAGAGCACGAAGUUAUAGUUUCAGAGCCCAGUGUUACUAAGUUAAAAUAUUUUCCUUGGAAAAUCCGUGCUCCACAGAAAAGACGACAUAUAAUAUGGCAAUUGGUUUCUGGUUACUUAGCAGUCACGAGGAAUCUCAGCCGACACCAUAUGCGUUGUGACAACCACUGUCUCAAAUGUGGAUAGAAUCAGAUGAAUCAGUUAACCAUGCCAUUUUCAAAUGCUGUCAUGCGUUGCAAACUUGGACUCUCGCCUCAACACCAUUGUGUCCGAGUAUAUUUCCAAUAACCAGUGUGUAUUCCAACUUGGAUUAUUUGUUCUAGAGGAAGAACAAAAUUGAAGAUCUAGAGCUUGAUAGAGAUAUUUAGCCAUGGAUUAUUUGGUUUCUUUGGAAAACUUGAUGUACUCAGAUUUUACCACUAAAACCAACCGCCAGUGCACGCUAGUGCGCGGUAGUAUAUAGGGAUCAAAUUCCUUAGAGACAAAAGUUACACUAUAAAUCAGAAUCAAGGUAGAAAGAAAAUAGUUUGUUGUUAUUGUUUCAAUUGCGAUAAAUGUAAAUGACAUAAUGUAAAUGAAGUUAAACUUAUGGAUUAAAAAUGCUAGGCAAUGGAAAACUCUCAGGAAAACAUCAAUCAUAAAAUGAACAGUAAACAAGUAAUUUGUCUCAACUCUCAGGAACUCAAAUCAUAGCGACAAGAUCAAUCAACUUUCGUUGCAAAUACUAUUGAUGUUUAAAUCCUAGAAUCCCAAAUUUCUGUGGAUUCAAACAAUUGAGACAUGCAUUAAAUUCAGCUUGAUAUGUUCACUAAAUCCCUAAACUAAAUUUCUUUGCAGAUAGGUAUUUAGAUCAUCAAUAUUAAUUCAAUCAAUUAAUAAUACUUUCACAUUACCAAUAAUCCUAUGAUCUAGAUUUUAGAUUAUCCAUCUUGAUCUAGCAUUAAAAAUAAUCAAGAUUGAAUAAUAAAAGAUAAGCCAUGACAAUUUAUUCUAACAAUUAAUUCAAUCCUCUUAAAAACCCUAAAUUUAACAUGUGAUUUACUUAGACGUGAUCAAAGAAGACAUAUUCAUAUUCUGAAUAAAUUGCAUAAAUAGAUUUAAGUAAAAAAUAUUGUAGUUUGAAAUAUUGUAGUUUGACCAGUCUCCGAAGAAAUUCUUACUUGUCUCCAAAUUUAAGAUAAAGAUUAGCCUAAACAAUGAUUUAUUAUAAGUAUAUAUAGGUAUAAUGAUCAUUAGUUGACGUUUCUAUGUAUUGUUUAAACAAUAUGUGGAGCUUUGAGUAGGAAAGACACAAUGUCAAUAGCUAAAUUCAUACUAUUUGACGUAGAGUUGCUUUUUUUUUUUUUUUUUGACAACAUUGGUACAUAGUUGUAAGCCUAGUUCCAUGUAACAUCAGAAGACUUAGAGUCUAGGCAUCAUAUUGGCAUGGCCAAAGAAAUAUCAAAACAGAAGUAGCGCUUGUUGUUUAUAUCUUAACAAAUAUGAAUCAAUGUUAAAGCUCACACCACAACAUUCAAAGAAAAAUGUAGCUUUAUCUACUAAAUCCCAUUUAAAUCAAAUAUUGUCAUGAACUAAUUAAAUCUAGUAAUGCAUUCUCUAACCAUCAUCCCAACAAGCAGAUCACUAACGAAUCUCCAAUGUCGUCGCAAUACAAACCAGAAAAUGAGAGUGGAAAUGGAUCGAAUACCUUUGAGGGAUCGACUCUUUGGAAGUUCUUGACGACAGUGAUUACGCGAUCUGUGACGUCAGAUUUGUCGAGAAACGAUCCUCUCACUUCCUCUGAGAAACGCCGAAGAAGUACGGUGAAAGGGAGUGCUGAUUCUCGAGCGCAGAUUGUUGUAGGGUUUACAAGUGAUGGAUUGACGUUGACUCGGAGGUAUCGAAGAAGAGCAUUUCUCGCCGCCAUCGCUUAUGUUGCAGUGGAUGAUAGACAACCCUAGAAUCCUUCUCUCGACGGAGAUUUCAG
This 3987-nucleotide long non-coding RNA is filed under the name Brassica napus (rape). RNAcentral's name for it is "long non-coding RNA (BNAP_LNC010917)". The record is from RNAcentral. Lineage: Eukaryota; Viridiplantae; Streptophyta; Magnoliopsida; Brassicales; Brassicaceae.